Molecule: long non-coding RNA, 593 nt
Organism: Pectinophora gossypiella (pink bollworm)
Lineage: Eukaryota; Metazoa; Arthropoda; Insecta; Lepidoptera; Gelechiidae
Exons: 5
Source: RefSeq, a predicted model, not a curated record
GCAGUGUCACAGCUAGCAAUCAAAAGUAACAAGAUAUUGAGGAAAUGCAGAUGACAAUAAACUGUGUAGGAGUUCAUGAUUGCAAUAGAAUAAAAUCGACCAAGCCUGAAGUCAGCAGCCCCUUCAAUGAAUGCAGCAGUGUGACAGCCAGCAAUCAAAAGUUACAAGAUAUCGAGGAAAUGCAGAUGGCAAUAAACUGUGUAGGAGUUUAUGAUUGCAAUAGAAUAAAAUCGACCAAGCCUGAAGUCAGCAGCCCCUUCAAUGAAUGCAGCAGUGUGACAGCCAGCAAUCAAAAGUAACAAGAUAUCGAGGAAAUGCAGAAGGCAAAAAACUGCGUAGGAGAUUAUUAAUACAAUAGUAUUAUAUCAACCAAGCCUGAUGUCGGUAGCUUCUUCAAUGAAUGCAGCAGUGUGACAGCCAGCAAUCAAUAGUGAUAGUGACAAGAAUCUAGGAAAUACAGAAGGCAAAGAAGCAGAUGUCAUCAAAGAAGAUCUUUGUUCCUGCAAUGUUUCCGCAGACGAUACAUCCAACAGAGCGAAGUGGAAGGAAAAGACUCGGAAAAAAGAGCCCACCACCAUAUGGGAACAAUGCAA